Molecule: long non-coding RNA, 577 nt
Organism: Zalophus californianus (California sea lion)
Lineage: Eukaryota; Metazoa; Chordata; Mammalia; Carnivora; Otariidae
Exons: 3
Source: RefSeq, a predicted model, not a curated record
CUCAAGAAAAACUUUUACUACUGUCCUACCUCAAACUGGCUCCCAGGCUCUUAAUACUAUCAGAAUUGUAGAACAAGACACUAUUAUAAUUCAGAUGUGCACAAAAUAGCUGGUGAACCUUAGGAGGAAGUUAGUCACUAUUUGGAAGAUGCAGAAAAGAACAUUACAAAAAUAAUGGCUUGGCUGAAUCUUGAAGAUUGAGAUAUGGAUGUGACUGGUAUCAAAGAGGGAAAAUUCAGGCAGAAAACUGAUGAAGUGAAUAAGAAGCUCUGACCAAAAGGAACAUUUUGCAGGAAAUAUAACAGUAGUAAAGGUGAGGAAAUUGAAAAUCAGUAAGGUUAAGUGAUUUUCCACCUGCCCCAGAUGGUAAGGAGUGCCAUUAAGCCACAGACUCUUCUGGAUUCUUAUUUGGAUUCACAAUACCUUAUUAAAGGACAAGUCCCAAAAAAGUUAGAGCCAAUGGAGGACUCCAAGCUGCUCUGUGGAAGGGUGGAGCCCGUAUAUGGAAGGAGCAUGGGUUUUCUUCCUAACCCAGUGGACUGUGAAUAUGAGUGACAAAUAAACUGCAAUUGUGUUA